CAGUCGCCGCGGGAAUACAGAGGGUGCGAGCGUUAAUCGGAUUUACUGGGCGUAAAGCGUGCGUAGGCGGCUUCUUAAGUCGGAUGUGAAAUCCCUGAGCUUAACUUAGGAAUUGCAUUCGAUACUGGGAAGCUAGAGUAUGGGAGAGGAUGGUAGAAUUCCAGGUGUAGCGGUGAAAUGCGUAGAGAUCUGGAGGAAUACCGAUGGCGAAGGCAGCCAUCUGGCCUAAUACUGACGCUGAGGUACGAAAGCAUGGGGAGCAAACAGGAUUAGAUACCCCCGUAGUCCCUGUUUCUUAUAC
Molecule: ribosomal RNA, 301 nt
Filed under: uncultured bacterium
Lineage: Bacteria
Description: partial 16S ribosomal RNA
Rfam family: Bacterial small subunit ribosomal RNA
Source: RNAcentral